GACGAACGCUGGCGGCGUGCUUAACACAUGCAAGUCGAACGGAAAGGCCCUGCUUGCAGGGUACUCGAGUGGCGAACGGGUGAGUAACACGUGGGUGAUCUGCCCUGCACUUCGGGAUAAGCCUGGGAAACUGGGUCUAUUACCGGAUAGGAGCCCUUUUUAGUGUGUUGGUUGGAAAGUUUUUUCGGUGUAGGCUGAGCUCGCGGCCUAUCAGCUUGUUGGUGGGUUAAUGGCAUACCAAGGCGCCGACGGGUAGCCGGCCUGGGAGGGUGGACGGCCACAGUGGGACUGAGAUACGGCCCAGACUCCGACGGGAGGCAGCAGUGGGGAAGAUUGAACAAGGGGAGCAAGCCUGAUGCAGCGACGCCGCGUGGGGGAUGACGGACUUCGGGUUGUAAACUCCUUUCGCUAGGGACGAAGCUUUUUGUGACGGUACCUAGAUAAGAAGCACCGGCUAACUACGUG
RNAcentral lists this ribosomal RNA (465 nucleotides) under uncultured bacterium. Its description in RNAcentral is "partial 16S ribosomal RNA". It matches the Rfam family "Bacterial small subunit ribosomal RNA", at positions 28 to 507 of the family's 1533-position model. The record is from RNAcentral.